Molecule: long non-coding RNA, 1279 nt
Filed under: Homo sapiens (human)
Lineage: Eukaryota; Metazoa; Chordata; Mammalia; Primates; Hominidae
Description: non-protein coding lnc-RSL24D1-4:1
Source: RNAcentral
CUCUGACCAACACUACUGAUGGCCACUUGUAGCUACUGUAUUCUCCCCAUACCAUCCAUUUUGUCACUUAAUAUGCCACCUCAUCGUGUAUCCCUGUGAUUUUCUACAGAUCAAACCUAUUACAUCACGAAGUUAUGCCAAGAUUAAAACAGUUUUAAUGCUAAAUUUAAAAAAGUAUAGUUGUCUAAAAUUUUUUUAAUACUUACUACUAUUGGUCAGAUUGAUGGAAUAACUGAUACAAAAACAAAAACUGGUCAUUGAAACACAAAUUUUGGAGAUGAAACCUAAUAGUGAUGCAGUGUAUGUAAAAGGUACGUGAUGGUCUCUGGGCCAUACUGCCUGGGUUUGAAUCCAGGCUUCGCUAAGUAUCAGCUAGAUGACCUUGAGUAAGUUACUUAAUCUCAAAUCUCACAUCUGUAAAAUAGGAGUAAUAGUUCUUACCUAUUUCAAUUGUUGUAAAGAUUAAAUGAGUUACCACUUGAAAAGAACUUAAAAUACCUGGCAUAUGUAAAGUCUAGUUGCUAGCUAUUAUUUUGGUGGUUAUUAAAAUAUUAUUCAUCCCUGUUUACCUAGCAAUUUCUAUAAACCUGCCUUACAGAAACACUUGCACAAAUACACAAAGACACAUAUGACUAACAUUUUUAGAGGUGGGUGGAUCACUUGAGGUCAUCAGUUUGAGACCAGCCUGGACAACAUCGUGAAACCCUGCCUCUACUAAAAAUACAAAAAAUUAGCUAGGCAUGUUGGUGUGUGCCUGUAAUUCCAGAUACUAGGGAGGCGGAGACAGGAGAAUUGCUGAACCCGGAAGGCGGAGGCUGAAGUGAGCCGAGAUCGCGCCACUGUGCUCCUGCCUGGGCGACAGAGCAAGACUCCAUCUCAAAAAAAAAGCUAAAGACAACCGAUAUGUCUAUAAGUAGUAAACUAGUGAGUACAUCAUCAUAUAUCAUAUGACAUACUGUGAAUGCACACUAAACAGUGAAGGAACUCUUUUGUAUAUAAGAUAAGAUCUAUUUAAAAAAAAACUACAAUAUGCACUGAUAUGGUUUGGCUGUGUCCCCACCCAAAUCUCAUCUUGAAUUGCGGUUCCCAUAAUCUCCCCAUGUCAUUGGAGGGACCUGGUAGGAAGUAAUUGAAUCAUGGGGCACUUCCCCCAUGCUCUUCUCAUGACAGUGAGUGAGUUAUCAUGAGAUCUGAUGGUUUUAUAAGGAGCUUUUUCCCCUUUGCUCAGCAUUUCUCUUUCCUGUCACCAUGUGAAGAAGCACGUUUUCUUCCCUUUCUG